GCUCAACCGAGGAAGUGCUUCGAAAACUGGUAAACUUGAGUGCAGAAGAGGAAAGUGGAACUCCAUGUGUAGCGGUGGAAUGCGUAGAUAUAUGGAAGAACACCAGUGGCGAAGGCGGCUUUCUGGUCUGUAACUGACGCUGAGAUUCGAAAGCAUGGGUAGCAAACAGGAUUAGAUACCCUGGUAGUCCAUGCCGUAAACGAUGAGUGCUAAGUGUUGGAGGGUUUCCGCCCUUCAGUGCUGCAGCUAACGCAUUAGGCACUCCGCCUGGGGAGUACGAUCGCAAGAUUGAAACUCAAAGGAAUUGACGGGGGCCCGCACAAGCGGUGGAGCAUGUGGUUUAAUUCGAAGCAACGCGAAGAACCUUACCAGGUCUUGACAUACCAUGAAAAGCUAAGAGAUUAGUCUUUCCCUUCGGGGACAUGGAUACAGGUGGUGCAUGGUUGUCGUCAGCUCGUGUCGUGAGAUGUUGGGUUAAGUCCCGCAACGAGCGCAACCCUUAUUAUCAGUUGCCAGCAUUCAGUUGGGCACUCCGGUGAGACUGCCGGUGACAAACCGGAGGAAGGUGGGGACGACGUCAAAUCAUCAUGCCCCUUAUGACCUGGGCUACACACGUGCUACAAUGGUCGGUACAACG
Molecule: ribosomal RNA, 637 nt
Filed under: uncultured bacterium
Lineage: Bacteria
Description: bacterial SSU rRNA
Rfam family: Bacterial small subunit ribosomal RNA
Source: RNAcentral